Molecule: ribosomal RNA, 253 nt
Filed under: uncultured bacterium
Lineage: Bacteria
Description: partial 16S ribosomal RNA
Rfam family: Bacterial small subunit ribosomal RNA
Source: RNAcentral
UACGUAGGGUGCGAGCGUUGUCCGGAAUUAUUGGGCGUAAAGGGCUCGUAGGCGGUUUGUCGCGUCGGGAGUGAAAACACCGGGCUUAACUCGGUGCUGGCUUUCGAUACGGGCAGACUAGAGGUAUGCAGGGGAGAACGGAAUUCCUGGUGUAGCGGUGAAAUGCGCAGAUAUCAGGAGGAACACCGGUGGCGAAGGCGGUUCUCUGGGCAUGUCCUGACGCUGAGGAGCGAAAGUGUGGGGAGCGAACAGG